UCUGAUUGACAAUCCGUAGGGCCUGGCAU
RNAcentral lists this non-coding RNA (29 nucleotides) under Rattus norvegicus (Norway rat). The record is from RNAcentral. Lineage: Eukaryota; Metazoa; Chordata; Mammalia; Rodentia; Muridae.